UACGUAGGUGGCAAGCGUUGUCCGGAUUUAUUGGGCGUAAAGCGAGUGCAGGCGGUUCAAUAAGUCUGAUGUGAAAGCCUUCGGCUCAACCGGAGAAUUGCAUCAGAAACUGUUGAACUUGAGUGCAGAAGAGGAGAGUGGAACUCCAUGUGUAGCGGUGGAAUGCGUAGAUAUAUGGAAGAACACCAGUGGCGAAGGCGGCUCUCUGGUCUGCAACUGACGCUGAGGCUCGAAAGCAUGGGUAG
This 245-nucleotide ribosomal RNA is filed under the name uncultured Lactobacillus sp. Its description in RNAcentral is "partial 16S ribosomal RNA". It matches the Rfam family "Bacterial small subunit ribosomal RNA", at positions 524 to 768 of the family's 1533-position model. The record is from RNAcentral. Lineage: Bacteria; Bacillati; Bacillota; Bacilli; Lactobacillales; Lactobacillaceae.